AUACUUAUCUGGAAGGGGAGAUACCAUGAUCACGAAGGUGGUUUUCUGAGGGCAAGUCUUAUCCAUUGCACUGUGGAUGGGUUGACCUCUGCGAUUUCCCCAAAUGUGGAAAACUUGACCGUAUAAUUUAUGGUAGUGGGGGACUGCGUCCGUGCUUUCCCCUG
Octodon degus (degu) is the source of this 164-nucleotide small nuclear RNA. Its record names the gene U1. It matches the Rfam family "U1 spliceosomal RNA". From Rfam's summary of the family: U1 is a small nuclear RNA (snRNA) component of the spliceosome (involved in pre-mRNA splicing). The record is from Ensembl. NCBI's taxonomy places the organism in Eukaryota, Metazoa, Chordata, Mammalia, Rodentia, Octodontidae.